GACGAACGCUGGCGGCGUGCUUAACACAUGCAAGUCGAACGGAAAGGCCCUGCUUUUGUGGGGUGCUCGAGUGGCGAACGGGUGAGUAACACGUGAGUAACCUUCCCUUGACUUUGGGAUAACUUCAGGAAACUGGGGCUAAUACCGGAUAGGAGCUCCUGCUGCAUGGUGGGGGUUGGAAAGUUUCGGCGGUUGGGGAUGGACUGGCGGCUUAUCAGCUUGUUGGUGGGGUAGUGGCUUACCAAGGCUUUGACGGGUAGCCGGCCUGAGAGGGUGACCGGCCACAUUGGGACUGAGAUACGGACCAGACUCCUACGGGAGGCAGCAGUGGGGAAUAUUGCACAAUGGGCGGAAGCCUGAUGCAGCAACGCCGCGUGCGGGAUGACGGCCUUCGGGUUGUAAACCGCUUUCGCCUGUGACGAAGCGUGAGUGACGGUAAUGGGUAAAGAAGCACCGGCUAACUACGUG
This 468-nucleotide ribosomal RNA is filed under the name uncultured bacterium. RNAcentral describes it as "partial 16S ribosomal RNA". It matches the Rfam family "Bacterial small subunit ribosomal RNA", at positions 28 to 507 of the family's 1533-position model. The record is from RNAcentral.